Molecule: non-coding RNA, 148 nt
Filed under: Gorilla gorilla gorilla (western lowland gorilla)
Lineage: Eukaryota; Metazoa; Chordata; Mammalia; Primates; Hominidae
Source: Rfam by way of RNAcentral
GCUGGACAUGGUGGCACAUGCCUGUAGUCCCAGCUACUCGGAAGGCUGAGGCAGGAGGAUAGCUUGAGCCCAGGAGGUCAAGGUUGCAGUGAGCCGAGAUUGUGCCACUGCACUCCAGCCUGGGCAACAGAGCAAGACCCUGCCUCAA